GAUGAACGCUGGCGGCGUGCCUAAUACAUGCAAGUCGAGCGAACAGACGAGGAGCUUGCUCCUCUGACGUUAGCGGCGGACGGGUGAGUAACACGUGGAUAACCUACCUAUAAGACUGGGAUAACUUCGGGAAACCGGAGAUAAUACCAGAUCAUAUAUUGUACCGCAUGGUUCAAUAGUGAAAGACGGUUUUGCUGUCACUUAUAGAUGGAUCCGCGCCGCAUUAGCUAGUUGGUAAGGUAACGGCUUACCAAGGCAACGAUGCGUAGCCGACCUGAGAGGGUGAUCGGCCACACUGGAACUGAGACACGGUCCAGACUCCUACGGGAGGCAGCAGUGGGGAAUCUUCCGCAAUGGGCGAAAGCCUGACGGAGCAACGCCGCGUGAGUGAUGAAGGUCUUCGGAUCGUAAAACUCUGUUAUUAGGGAAGAACAAAUGUGUAAGUAACUAUGCACGUCUUGACGGUACCUAAUCAGAAAGCCACGGCUAACUACGUG
RNAcentral lists this ribosomal RNA (497 nucleotides) under uncultured bacterium. RNAcentral's name for it is "partial 16S ribosomal RNA". It matches the Rfam family "Bacterial small subunit ribosomal RNA", at positions 28 to 507 of the family's 1533-position model. The record is from RNAcentral.